UGGGUUAUAGCUCAAGUGGUAGAGUACAUGCCUAGCAAACUGGAGUUCUUGGGUUCAAUCUCCAAUACCUCAA
This 73-nucleotide transfer RNA is filed under the name Dipodomys ordii (Ord's kangaroo rat). It matches the Rfam family "tRNA". Rfam says of the family: Transfer RNA (tRNA) molecules are approximately 80 nucleotides in length. Their secondary structure includes four short double-helical elements and three loops (D, anti-codon, and T loops). Lineage: Eukaryota; Metazoa; Chordata; Mammalia; Rodentia; Heteromyidae. The record is from Rfam by way of RNAcentral.